GAUGAACGCUGGCGGCGUGCCUAAUACAUGCAAGUCGAGCGAACAGACGAGGAGCUUGCUCCUCUGACGUUAGCGGCGGACGGGUGAGUAACACGUGGAUAACCUACCUAUAAGACUGGGAUAACUUCGGGAAACCGGAGCUAAUACCGGAUAAUAUAUUGAACCGCAUGGUUCAAUAGUGAAAGACGGCUUUGCUGUCACUUAUAGAUGGAUCCGCGCCGCAUUAGCUAGUUGGUAAGGUAACGGCUUACCAAGGCAACGAUGCGUAGCCGACCUGAGAGGGUGAUCGGCCACACUGGAACUGGGACACGGGCCAGACUCCUACAGGAGGCAGCAGUAGGGAAUCUUCCGCAAAGGGCGAAAGCUUGACGGAGCAACGCCGCGUGAGUGAUGAAGGUCUUCGGAUCGUAAAACUCUGUUAUUAGGGAAGAACAAAUGUGUAAGUAACUAUGCACGUCUUGACGGUACCUAAUCAGAAAGCCACGGCUAACUACGUG
Molecule: ribosomal RNA, 497 nt
Filed under: uncultured bacterium
Lineage: Bacteria
Description: partial 16S ribosomal RNA
Rfam family: Bacterial small subunit ribosomal RNA
Source: RNAcentral